AUAAGAACUCUCCUCCGAUCUCUUGCUAUUCAUUAAGAUUUUUAUUUAAGAAUCGGAUAAGAACUCUCCCACGAUCUCUUUAAGCAUUUAUUAAGAUUUUUGAUUGAGAAUCGGAUAAGAAUUCUCCUCCAAUCUCUUUAAAUUUAAUUACGAUCGUACAUCGUAAGGACCUUAGACUAAGGGUUCUCUUGACUCAUUGGUACCUUAUAACUAAAAAGGGGUGCCAGCCUGAAUCUUUUCCGAUCUCCUUUGUGAUUGCCUUACCAGCACUUUUGGCAGGCGAUGUCCGAUCCUUCGCUCACUAGUCUGGGAUCCGAUCUUACCUCGGUCCCCCACUAUACCAGGUUAUCUUCUGAGCUAGCCUAGUGGUUUGAUUUCAUAAUUUUCCUCUAAUUUAUUAUCCAAACUUUUAUUAUUUUAAAGAAACUCUCGUGUUAAGAUACAGCUACCACCAUUUUAUCGAACUACCUAUACGUUACUCGUGACCAAAACACCUACAUUUGAAGUUAAUAAAGGCUAAAAAUAAAUAACAUGAACUGAUGAACAAAAAGGUAAACUCAAGAAAAUAACCACCCUCGUGGAACUCUUUAACAUGACAUAAGCUUAAAAAAAAAAAAAAAACUUGAUAAAACAACGGUUCAGACGCUCACCUGUGGGGAGUUGAAUCUAUUGAGUUAACUAUUGAGUCACAAAUAUGGUAGAGCUACGCGCUAAUAGUCUGGGGACUAAUGCUUGCCUUGAAAUAAAGAAUACCAGGUUAAAAUGCAGUUGAACCGAAGUAAUAGUAACCGGGUUGGAAUGAGAUGGAGCUUAAAAAAUAAAAGUGGAUAUGGAGAUGCUGAAGACAAAACUGAAACUAAGAGAUGGUAUCACAAAGUAAUGAACAAACUGAAAAUGAAGAGUUUCAGGGUCCAACACUCCUUCAAUAGAGAUACUUAAGAAAACUGGUUUCUGAAGUUUCUCUAUUUCGAAAGCUUAAAAUAGCAAAGUAGCAAGACUGAAUCAAAUUUCAGAGUCUUUCCAUUAUAAUCACCACCACUUUUUUUUCGUCCCUUCUACAGUAUUGUAUGCAGGUAUUUAUAGGGAAU
Molecule: unclassified non-coding RNA, 1088 nt
Filed under: Hevea brasiliensis (rubber tree)
Lineage: Eukaryota; Viridiplantae; Streptophyta; Magnoliopsida; Malpighiales; Euphorbiaceae
Source: RNAcentral